This 191-nucleotide unclassified non-coding RNA is filed under the name uncultured Pleosporales. RNAcentral's name for it is "sequence contains ITS1". Lineage: Eukaryota; Fungi; Ascomycota; Dothideomycetes; Pleosporales. The record is from RNAcentral.
CUUGGCCUUGGGCCGCCCACGGGAGACCGUCGCUUGCGGCGGCGCUCUCGAGGGUGCUUAGCCCUUGAUCAUUACCUUGACUAUGCGCACCUUUGUUGUUCCCUCGGCCGGACGCUUCGCGUUCGGCCGCGAGGAACCCCUUAAACCUUUUGCAAUGAGCAUUAAUCUUCUGAAACAAACCUAAUUAUUUA